UACGAAGGGGGCUAGCGUUGCUCGGGAAUUACUGGGCGUAAAGGGCGCGUAGGCGGAUGUUUAAGUUUGGGGGGUGAAAGCCCCGGGGGCUCAACCUCGGAAUUGCCUUCAAUACUUGGACAUCUUGAGUACGGGAGAAGGUGAGUGGAACUCCGAGUGUAGAGGUGAAAUUCGUAGAUAUUCGGAAGAACACCAGGUGGCGAAGGCGACUCACUGGCCCGUUACUGACGCUGAGGCGCGAAAGCGUGGGG
RNAcentral lists this ribosomal RNA (251 nucleotides) under uncultured bacterium. Its description in RNAcentral is "partial 16S ribosomal RNA". It matches the Rfam family "Bacterial small subunit ribosomal RNA", at positions 524 to 766 of the family's 1533-position model. The record is from RNAcentral.